AACGAACGCUGGCGGCAUGCCUAACACAUGCAAGUCGAACGAUGCCUUCGGGCAUAGUGGCGCACGGGUGCGUAACGCGUGGGAAUCUGCCCUUGGCCUCGGAAUAACAGUUAGAAAUGACUGCUAAUGCCGGAUGAUGUCCCCCUGUGCGAUCUUGGGGACCAGAGAUUUAUCGGCCAGGGAUGAGCCCGCGUAGGAUUAGGUAGUUGGAGGGGUAAAGGCCUACCAAGCCGACGAUCCUUAGCUGGUCUGAGAGGAUGAUCAGCCACACUGGGACUGGGACACGGCCCAGACUCCUACGGGAGGCAGCAGUGGGGAAUAUUGGACAAUGGGGGGAAUCCUGAUCCAGCAAUGCCGCGUGAGUGAUGAAGGCCUUAGGGUUGUAAAGCUCUUUUACCAGGGAUGAUAAUGACAGUACCUGGAGAAUAAGCUCCGGCUAACUCCGUG
This 447-nucleotide ribosomal RNA is filed under the name uncultured bacterium. RNAcentral describes it as "partial 16S ribosomal RNA". It matches the Rfam family "Bacterial small subunit ribosomal RNA", at positions 29 to 507 of the family's 1533-position model. The record is from RNAcentral.